RNAcentral lists this ribosomal RNA (561 nucleotides) under uncultured eukaryote. Its description in RNAcentral is "SSU rRNA". It matches the Rfam family "Eukaryotic small subunit ribosomal RNA", at positions 21 to 566 of the family's 1831-position model. The record is from RNAcentral.
CGAUUGUAGUCAUAUGCUUGUCUCAAAGAUUAAGCCAUGCAUGUCUAAGCACAAACCUUUACACGGUGAAGCUGCGAAUGGCUCAUUAGGCCACCCAUGAUUUCUUAGAUCGUACAAUCCUACUUGGAUAACUGCGGUAAUUCUGGAGCUAAUACAUGCCACAAAGCUCCGACCCCUAUGGGAAAGAGCGCGUUUAUUAGGUCAAAACCAAUCGGGUCCUCGCGGCCCGUAACUCUGAUGACUCUGGAUAACUUCGAGCUGAUCGCAUGGCCUCGUGCCGGCGACGUAUCUUUCAAGUGUGUGCCCUAUCAACUUUCGAUGGUACGUGAUAUGCCUACCAUGGUAGUAACGGGUAACGGGGAAUCAGGGUUCGAUUCCGGAGAGGGAGCGUGAGAAACGGCUACCACAUCCAAGGAAGGCAGCAGGCGCGCAAAUUACCCAAUCCCGACACGGGGAGGUAGUGACGAAAAAUAACAAUACGGGACUCUUUUGAGGCCCCGUAAUUGGAAUGAGUACACUUUAAAUCCUUUAACGAGGAUCAAUUGGAGGGCAAGUCUGGUA